Long non-coding RNA from Eriocheir sinensis (Chinese mitten crab), 2689 nucleotides. RefSeq lists it as uncharacterized. The record is from RefSeq and is a predicted model, not a curated record. The transcript has 2 exons. Lineage: Eukaryota; Metazoa; Arthropoda; Malacostraca; Decapoda; Varunidae.
ACUAGGAAUGGAAGGGGUGACUCUGCUUCUCCAUACUCAGUGCUUACAACAGUGAUACCAAGGACAGUGAUAACAGGAAUGACUGGUUGUAUAAUGACAUAAUUUAAGCCAUGUCCAAAUGUCCAAUGGUCCCGUAACACUAGGAGUGGAAGGACUGACACUUUGCCUCCUUGUACACAGUGCCUAUGAAAGUGAUACUGAGGACUAGUUGUAUAGGGGCAUAAGACUCCUACCUGUCCACACAUACCCCUUUCUGCUGCCUCUGCCUCCUAACACAGUGCUUAUAAUACAGUUUCCGAUGGCAGAGCAGUAACAGCAGUAAUACUAAUGUUGUAAGGGUGGACUAUAUUACAUCUACCCUGCUGCCUCUGCCUCCUAACACAGUGCUUAUAAUACAGUUUCCGAUGGCAGAGUGGUAACAGCAGUAAUACUAAUGUUGUAAGGGUGGACUAUAUUACAUCUACCCUGCUGCCUCUGCCUCAUUCAUGCUUAUUACACAGCGCCAUAGAGUGUCCGCCAUAUGACCCUGCAGUUGUGGCUCCAAGAAUUGAGUGCCAUAGAGUGUUAUGUAAGGGGAAUUUAGUGUUUUCAGAGUUUAUUUUGUUGAGAGGAAUCUAAUGCUUCAAAGAGUAUUCCAUCUAGUACUGUUUUCAAAGUCAUAGUUAUAGUUUCUGAAUAUUACUGUUUUGGAGGAGUUUAAUCCAUCAACUACCUGUGGAAAUAUUAAAAAGACUAAAAUAUCACCCAUCAUAGGCAUUCCACAGUCAAUUUUAAGAGAAUAUCGCUUUCAAAGAGUGUAUUCCAUCACCAACCCCGUGUGUGGAAAUUUUAAAAGACCAGAAUAGCACCCAUCCAAAACAUAACAGGGCAUUAGUUUAUUUCAUCACCAACGCCCUGUAUGGAAAUUUUAAAAGACCAGAAUAGCACCCAUCCAAAACAUAACAGGGCAUUAGUUUAUUUCAUCACCAACGCCCUGUAUGGAAAUUUUAAAAGACCAGAAUAGCACCCAAUCAGAGCAUUCCCACAGUCUCAUCUUCUGAAGCAUGGCAAGCACUGACGAGGCAACAGGUAGCAGGCUCCUUACUUAUCUAGCACUGCCGGGUCUAUUGUUUUGCCCCCUUGGUCGUGCUGGCCGUGAGUGUCAGGGCGCCAGUCACCACCCCACACUGACGCCGGCUGCUGCAUGCAAUCUGACUCACCACUGCGUUAGUCACUUUGUGCUUAUCAAUUUUUCUUUCAGCAGCUAAAGGGGUGACUCAAGGGAGAGGGUUUCAGUAAGGAUGGGAGAUGCUGUAGUCAACGCCACCCAGCUGUUAGUCCGUUUACGCCCCACCCGAAAUUGACCUCUGUUUUGGCUACUCUUUUAUCUUUUAUAGGAGCGGUGAAUAGCGGCUUUUUUUUUCUUCUGUACUCUUUUUGUUGCCCUUGAGCCGUGUCUGAUGUAAUAAAUAAAUAAAUAAAUAAAUAAAUCACUCCCUUGCCCUCUGUCACAAGUUGCAAUGGUCAAUAUUCUUAUCAGUUUUCUUUCAGCAGCUAAAGGGGUGACUCAAGGGAGAGGGUUUCAGUAAGGAUGGGAGAUGCUGUAGUUGUCGCCACCCAGCUGUUAGUCCGUUACGCCCCACCCCUUCCCUCCCUUGCCCUCUGUCACAAGUUGCAAUGAUCACUACUCUCACGGACAUAUUCCAGCUCUCAUUCACUAAAAAAUAUCAGUUAUCAUCCACCCAAAAACUAAUGGCAGCUUUUAAACUGUUUUUCACUUUUAUUUUAUUACACAAACAUCCAUACCUCACUUCCAUUUAGUCUUUUCUUGGUAUCCUUACUCCAUAUCAUUACAAACAAAGAGAAACAGAGUGUUGAAGGUGUCAAUUAACCCGGUAGCAGCAGGGAUCAUGUUUCUUAAUGGUCCCUCCAAGCGAGAAAAAUGAGAAAAAAAUCACCCCUCACACAAACCAUUUCAUAAUAUAUAUCAACGCAUUUGUGAUCAGAUUAUGUAUCAUCUACUUUGGGGGGUUUAUAUCAUGGCACAAAUUUGGCCCGUCGCUGGUACACGGUAAAGCCACAAAUUUGGGCCGUCGCUGCUACCAGGUUAACAUGUAAAGGGGUUCAUAUAAAGCUUGUAGGGAAUGGUUGACUCUGGCUACUGACAUCAUUUCAAGGUACUAUGUCAAAUGAAUUGCCUUAGAGGAGAAAGCUGGUAAUAUGGAGGUCACUUAACCUCACUAUCUCUUUACAUUAAUAAGGCAACUUGGGUAUCAUUAUUGGAUUGAUUGUUGCAAGGUAUAGGUCAUUUCUUCCACCAUAGAACAAAAACACUAUUAUAAUUGCUUCGCUGUGGACUAUUGCAAGGUUGAGGUCAUUUCUUCUGUCAUAUAACAAAAAAUAACUUCAAUAUGGACUGUUUUAAGGUUCAGGUCAUUUCUUCCACAUUAUAACAAACACUAAUGUCAAUAUGGACUCUGGGAAGGGGUAGAGCGCAUAGGACAACUGGGCGGCAGCGACUACAGCACUUAACAAAACACAAACUCUGAUGGAUAAAUUUUAAGGUGUCGGGUUGUGGUGUAUAUGGUACUGAAUCCUCCCUUAAUCAACUUACAUUUCCACCCACUUUGAUUAACUCUCCGUCUUCUAACACAGUCUCUCCCGCACUCAACAGGUUUUCUUUGAUUUGAGUGCUGAAUCCCCCCCUUAA